RNAcentral lists this long non-coding RNA (255 nucleotides) under Panax ginseng (ginseng). RNAcentral describes it as "long non-coding RNA (PGIN_LNC014258)". The record is from RNAcentral. Lineage: Eukaryota; Viridiplantae; Streptophyta; Magnoliopsida; Apiales; Araliaceae.
GCUAACUUGCUAGAAAAUUCUAGACAGUAAAAGCUCUCAAAGGAGGAAUACAAUCAAUCAAUCAAUAAGACUAAAGAUGAUUACUGCUUUUCCCUUGCUGAUGUAUAUUCCCUUGUGUACCUGUUAUAGCCGAAAGGAAGAUAUAUAUAUACUAAGGAGGGUAACGACUAUAUGAAUAAAACAGAGAAUCAAUUACCGAUCUUUCUCUCUAAUUAGUUCCUAACGGAUAAAUAAAUUAGCAUGAAUCAAUCAUAG